GGAAUAUUGGUCAAUGGGCGGAAGCCUGAACCAGCCAUGCCGCGUGCAGGAUGACUGCCCUAUGGGUUGUAAACUGCUUUUGUCCAGGAAUAAACCUCCUUACGUGUAAGGAGCUGAAUGUACUGGAAGAAUAAGGAUCGGCUAACUCCGU
This 151-nucleotide ribosomal RNA is filed under the name uncultured Sphingobacterium sp. RNAcentral describes it as "partial 16S ribosomal RNA". It matches the Rfam family "Bacterial small subunit ribosomal RNA", at positions 358 to 506 of the family's 1533-position model. Lineage: Bacteria; Pseudomonadati; Bacteroidota; Sphingobacteriia; Sphingobacteriales; Sphingobacteriaceae. The record is from RNAcentral.